AUUGAACGCUGGCGGCAGGCCUAACACAUGCAAGUCGAACGAGUGGCGGACGGGUGAGUAAUGUCUGGGAAACUGCCUGAUGGAGGGGGAUAACUACUGGAAACGGUAGCUAAUACCGCAUACCAUCAGAUGUGCCCAGAUGGGAUUAGCUAGUUGGUGGGGUAACGGCUCACCAAGGCGACGAUCCCUAGCUGGUUUGAGAGGAUGACCCGCCACCAUGGGACCUGGACCAUGUCCAGACCCCUUAGGGAGGCAGCAGUGGGGAAUAUUGCACAAUGGGCGCAAGCCUGAUGCAGCCAUGCCGCGUGUAUGAAGAAGGCCUUCGGGUUGUAAAGUACUUUCAGCGGGGAGGCGUUACCCGCAGAAGAAGCACCGGCUAACUCCGUGCCAGCAGCCGCGGUAAUAC
RNAcentral lists this ribosomal RNA (406 nucleotides) under uncultured bacterium. RNAcentral's name for it is "partial 16S ribosomal RNA". It matches the Rfam family "Bacterial small subunit ribosomal RNA", at positions 30 to 526 of the family's 1533-position model. The record is from RNAcentral.